GACUUGCUCCCGGAUGUUAGCGGCGGACGGGUGAGUAACACGUGGGUAACCUGCCUGUAAGACUGGGAUAACUCCGGGAAACCGGAGCUAAUACCGGAUAGUUCCUUGAACCGCAUGGUUCAAGGAUGAAAGACGGUUUCGGCUGUCACUUACAGAUGGACCCGCGGCGCAUUAGCUAGUUGGUGAGGUAACGGCUCACCAAGGCGACGAUGCGUAGCCGACCUGAGAGGGUGAUCGGCCACACUGGGACUGAGACACGGCCCAGACUCCUACGGGAGGCAGCAGUAGGGAAUCUUCCGCAAUGGACGAAAGUCUGACGGAGCAACGCCGCGUGAGUGAUGAAGGUUUUCGGAUCGUAAAGCUCUGUUGUUAGGGAAGAACAAGUGCAAGAGUAACUGCUUGCACCUUGACGGUACCUAACCAGAAAGCCACGGCUAACUACGUGCCAGCAGCCGCGGUAAUACGUAGGUGGCAAGCGUUGUCCGGAAUUAUUGGGCGUAAAGGGCUCGCAGGCGGUUUCUUAAGUCUGAUGUGAAAGCCCCCGGCUCAACCGGGGAGGGUCAUUGGAAACUGGGAAACUUGAGUGCAGAAGAGGAGAGUGGAAUUCCACGUGUAGCGGUGAAAUGCGUAGAGAUGUGGAGGAACACCAGUGGCGAAGGCGACUCUCUGGUCUGUAACUGACGCUGAGGAGCGAAAGCGUGGGGAGCGAACAGGAUUAGAUACCCUGGUAGUCCACGCCGUAAACGAUGAGUGCUAAGUGUUAGGGGGUUUCCGCCCCUUAGUGCUGCAGCUAACGCAUUAAGCACUCCGCCUGGGGAGUACGGUCGCAAGACUGAAACUCAAAGGAAUUGACGGGGGCCCGCACAAGCGGUGGAGCAUGUGGUUUAAUUCGAAGCAACGCGAAGAACCUUACCNAGGUCUUGACAUCCUCUGACAACCCUAGAGAUAGGGCUUUCCCUUCGGGGACAGAGUGACAGGUGGUGCAUGGUUGUCGUCAGCUCGUGUCGUGAGAUGUUGGGUUAAGUCCCGCAACGAGCGCAACCCUUGAUCUUAGUUGCCAGCAUUCAGUUGGGCACUCUAAGGUGACUGCCGGUGACAAACCGGAGGAAGGUGGGGAUGACGUCAAAUCAUCAUGCCCCUUAUGACCUGGGCUACACACGUGCUACAAUGGACAGAACAAAGGGCUGCGAGACCGCAAGGUUUAGCCAAUCCCACAAAUCUGUUCUCAGUUCGGAUCGCAGUCUGCAACUCGACUGCGUGAAGCUGGAAUCGCUAGUAAUCGCGG
This 1285-nucleotide ribosomal RNA is filed under the name Bacillus aerius. Its description in RNAcentral is "bacterial SSU rRNA". It matches the Rfam family "Bacterial small subunit ribosomal RNA", at positions 77 to 1347 of the family's 1533-position model. Lineage: Bacteria; Bacillati; Bacillota; Bacilli; Caryophanales; Bacillaceae. The record is from RNAcentral.